GGAUUAGAUACCCUGGUAGUCCACGCCGUAAACGAUGUCUACUUGCAGCUCGGUUCGUAAGAACGGUUUUGCGAAGCUAACGCGUUAAGUAGACCGCCUGGGGAGUACGGUCGCAAGAUUAAAACUCAAAUGAAUUGACGGGGGCCCGCACAAGCGGUGGAGCAUGUGGUUUAAUUCGAUGCAACGCGAAGAACCUUACCAUCCCUUGACAUCCAGAGAACUUACUAGAGAUAGUUUGGUGCCUUCGGGAACUCUGAGACAGGUGCUGCAUGGCUGUCGUCAGCUCGUGUCG
Molecule: ribosomal RNA, 292 nt
Filed under: uncultured bacterium
Lineage: Bacteria
Description: partial 16S ribosomal RNA
Rfam family: Bacterial small subunit ribosomal RNA
Source: RNAcentral